RNAcentral lists this ribosomal RNA (529 nucleotides) under uncultured bacterium. RNAcentral's name for it is "bacterial SSU rRNA". It matches the Rfam family "Bacterial small subunit ribosomal RNA", at positions 791 to 1315 of the family's 1533-position model. The record is from RNAcentral.
UAGUCCACGCUGUAAACGAUGAGUGCUAGAUGUCGGGGGAGUUAACCCCUUCGGUGUCGUAGCUAACGCGUUAAGCACUCCGCCUGGGGAGUACGACCGCAAGGUUGAAACUCAAAGGAAUUGACGGGGGCCCGCACAAGCGGUGGAACAUGUGGUUUAAUUCGAUGCAACGCGCAGAACCUUACCUGGGCUUGACAUCCUCGGAAUUUCCUAGAGAUAGGGAAGUACCCUUCGGGGGGACCGAGUGACAGGUGCUGCACGGCUGUCGUCAGCUCGUGUCGUGAGAUGUUGGGUUAAGUCCCGCAACGAGCGCAACCCCUGUCAACAGUUGCUACCAAGUAAUGUUGGGCACUCUGUUGAGACUGCCGGUGUGAAACCGGNGGAAGGUGGGGACGACGUCAAGUCAUCAUGGCCUUUAUGUCCAGGGCUACACACGUGUUACAAUGGCCGGUACAGAGGGUUGCGAAGCCGCGAGGUGGAGCCAAUCCCGCAAAACCGGUCCCAGUUCAGAUUGGAGUCUGCAACUCGA